AAGUCGGAAUCGCUAGUAAUCGCGGAUCAGCAUGUCGCGGUGAAUACGUUCCCGGGUCUUGUACACACCGCCCGUCACACCAUGGGAGUGGGUUUUACCAGAAGUAGUUAGCCUAACCGUAAGGGGGGCGAUUACCACGGUAGGAUUCAUGACUGGGGUGAAGUCGUAACAAGGUAGCCGUAUCGGAAGGUGCGGCUGGAUCACCUCCUUUCAGA
This 215-nucleotide ribosomal RNA is filed under the name Achromobacter insolitus. RNAcentral's name for it is "partial 16S ribosomal RNA". It matches the Rfam family "Bacterial small subunit ribosomal RNA", at positions 1323 to 1533 of the family's 1533-position model. Lineage: Bacteria; Pseudomonadati; Pseudomonadota; Betaproteobacteria; Burkholderiales; Alcaligenaceae. The record is from RNAcentral.